GAUGAACGCUGGCGGCGUGCUUAACACAUGCAAGUCGAACGAAGCACUUUGGACAGAUUCUUCGGAUGAAAUUCUUAGUGACUGGGUGGCGGACGGGUGAGUAACGCGUGGGUAACCUGCCUCAUACAGGGGGAUAACAGUUAGAAAUGGCUGCUAAUACCGCAUAAGCGCACGGUACUGCAUGGUACAGUGUGAAAAACUCCGGUGGUAUGAGAUGGACCCGCGUUGGAUUAGCUAGUUGGCAGGGUAACGGCCUACCAAGGCGACGAUCCAUAGCCGGCCUGAGAGGGUGGACGGCCACAUUGGGACUGAGACACGGCCCAGACUCCUACGGGAGGCAGCAGUGGGGAAUAUUGCACAAUGGGGGAAACCCUGAUGCAGCGACGCCGCGUGAGCGAAGAAGUAUUUCGGUAUGUAAAGCUCUAUCAGCAGGGAAGAAAAUGACGGU
RNAcentral lists this ribosomal RNA (448 nucleotides) under uncultured bacterium. RNAcentral's name for it is "bacterial SSU rRNA". It matches the Rfam family "Bacterial small subunit ribosomal RNA", at positions 28 to 458 of the family's 1533-position model. The record is from RNAcentral.